CCUACGGGGAGCAGCAGUGAGGAAUAUUGGUCAAUGGACGAGAGUCUGAACCAGCCAAGUAGCGUGAAGGAUGACUGCCCUAUGGGUUGUAAACUUCUUUUAUAUGGGAAUAAAAUGUUCCACGUGUGGGAUUUUGUAUGUACCAUAUGAAUAAGGAUUGGCUAACUCCGUGCCAGCAGCCGCGGUAAUACGGAGGAUCCGAGCGUUAUCCGGAUUUAUUGGGUUUAAAGGGAGCGUAGGUGGAUUGUUAAGUCAGUUGUGAAAGUUUGCGGCUCAACCGUAAAAUUGCAGUUGAAACUGGCAGUCUUGAGUACAGUAGAGGUGGGCGGAAUUCGUGGUGUAGCGGUGAAAUGCUUAGAUAUCACGAAGAACUCCGAUUGCGAAGGCAGUUCACUGGACUGCAACUGACACUGAGGCUCGAAAGUGUGGGUAUCAAACAGGAUUAGAUACCCUGGUAGUC
RNAcentral lists this ribosomal RNA (460 nucleotides) under uncultured bacterium. Its description in RNAcentral is "partial 16S ribosomal RNA". It matches the Rfam family "Bacterial small subunit ribosomal RNA", at positions 338 to 795 of the family's 1533-position model. The record is from RNAcentral.